CUGCCUCAGAUCUGGGAUUCAGCCCCACUCUCUUCCUUCUCUCCAGGCUCGGAAGGCCCCCACCAGCGGUCACCCACCUUUGUGAAGUGUUUUGAGAUCCACGCACAGAAAGUGCUACGUAGUAUGUUGUACUGAUUUAUUUGGAGGCUGCGAUUCCUAUUUCAUAGCCUGCGUUCAUGUCCUCAGAGCUCAGCUGCAGGUUAUUAAAGCUGGAACCUUCAAACCAGCAUCUUCCAUCUUACUGACUUUUGUGGUGUGGGAGGAUCCUCUGGGAUCUUGCUUUUUGUGCCCCUCCCUUUAUUGUUUCCCAUAUCCUCCCAGGUCCUGCAGAACACGGACUCUUCCUGCUAGGCAGGGCCAGACACUGCUCUCUCUAGCUGCCAGCGCUCCAGUCGCUGGCAAGAGGGCUCACUUGAGAGCAACGCUGGUGCGCUGUCCUCUCGCCUUGCCAGGCCUGGACACUCAUCCCCUGCAUAGCGGCACAUUGCCAUCACUGUAUUCAUGCCAGUUUGACUACUAGUAGCAAAAGCGCCACCAAGAGCGGUGGCUGGUGCCGAUUAUAGUGCCAGCAAGUGGUUUUGGGACUUGUCCUUGUCAAGUGUCCUGUCCAUGCAGUGGUGAAUGUGUGUGUGGCUAGGGUGGGGGAAGGGCACAAAUUUUGAGUCUGACUAAACUGUUUCCUCCUAAGGAAAUGUGUAGGCUUUGCUCUGGGCGGAAUCAGGAGCCCUGUCCCAUGUGUGUCCAACGCAUUGUUUGUGUAAUUGACAUCAAGGGACUGGCUGUGAUCCUUGCAGUACGCAGUACUUCGGGGAGAGGACAUCAAUGUUUACGUAGCACUGUAAUUUUUCAUGGUGCUUUUGAGUUUUUAAAAAACUUAAUAGUUGUGGCACCCAAGAGCUUAUAAUCUAAAUCAGACAAAUAUAGAACAUGGAAAUAAAAUCAUUGGGGAGGGGCAGCCAAGGGUUAAAAACGUACAAACUCAAACUUGUAAACACUAAGGCCAGGAGGGACCAUUCUGAUCAUCCAGUCUGACCUGCAUAGCACAGGCCAGAGAAUCUCCCCCAGUGACUCCUGCACUGAACCCAAUAACUUGUGACGGAGUUAGAGCACUUGGUUUAGCCCGACAGCCAGUUUUGAGUCAAAGGCUAAUGAUGGUGAAAAUAGCACGAGUCAUCAUGUAAUGGACGAACAGCAAGGCAAAUGGGGACGAGCAGCCAGCCCAAAAUGGGACUU
This is a long non-coding RNA of Gopherus evgoodei (Goodes thornscrub tortoise), 1233 nucleotides long. RefSeq lists it as uncharacterized. The transcript has 2 exons. Lineage: Eukaryota; Metazoa; Chordata; Testudines; Testudinidae. The record is from RefSeq and is a predicted model, not a curated record.